UNCACAGAGAAAGAUAUCCAGGCCAAGCCUUC
RNAcentral lists this non-coding RNA (32 nucleotides) under Mus musculus (house mouse). Lineage: Eukaryota; Metazoa; Chordata; Mammalia; Rodentia; Muridae. The record is from RNAcentral.